GAAGCGAACGCGGUGAACUGAAACAUCUAAGUAACCGCAGGAAAAGAAAUCAACCGAGAUUCCCAAAGUAGUGGCGAGCGAAAUGGGAUGAGCCUUGCACUCUUUAUUUGUAUUGUUAGCCGAACGCUCUGGAAAGUGCGGCCAUAGCAGGUGAUAGCCCUGUAGGCGAAAACAGUAUGAAAGAACUAGGUGUGCGACAAGUAGGGCGGGACACGUGAAAUCCUGUCUGAAGAUGGGGGGACCAUCCUCCAAGGCUAAAUACUCGUGAUCGACCGAUAGUGAACCAGUACCGUGAGGGAAAGGCGAAAAGAACCCCGGGAGGGGAGUGAAAUAGAUCCUGAAACCGCAUGCAUACAAACAGUCGGAGCCUCGUAAGGGGUGACGGCGUACCUUUUGUAUAAUGGGUCAGCGACUUACGUUCAGUAGCAAGCUUAACCGUAUAGGGCAGGCGUAGCGAAAGCGAGUCCGAAUAGGGCGUUCAGUUGCUGGGCGUAGACCCGAAACCAGGUGAUCUAUCCAUGGCCAGGAUGAAGGUGCGGUAACACGUACUGGAGGUCCGAACCCACUAACGUUGAAAAGUUAGGGGAUGAGCUGUGGAUAGGGGUGAAAGGCUAAACAAACCUGGAAAUAGCUGGUUCUCUCCGAAAACUAUUUAGGUAGUGCCUCGUGUCUCACCUUCGGGGGUAGAGCACUGUCAUGGUUGGGGGGUCUAUUGCAGAUUACCCCGCCAUAGCAAACUCCGAAUACCGAAGAGUGCAAUCACGGGAGACAGACAUCGGGUGCUAACGUCCGGUGUCAAGAGGGAAACAACCCAGACCGCCAGCUAAGGUCCCCAAAUAUAGCUAAGUGGGAAACGAAGUGGGAAGGCUAAAACAGUCAGGAGGUUGGCUUAGAAGCAGCCACCCUUUAAAGAAAGCGUAAUAGCUCACUGAUCGAGUCGUCCUGCGCGGAAGAUGUAACGGGGCUAAGCUAUAUACCGAAGCUGCGGAUGCGUGCUUGCACGCAUGGUAGGAGAGCGUUCCGUAAGCCUGCGAAGGUGCCUUGUAAAGGGUGCUGGAGGUAUCGGAAGUGCGAAUGCUGACAUGAGUAGCGAUAAAGGGGGUGAAAGGCCCCCUCGCCGUAAGCCCAAGGUUUCCUACGCAACGUUCAUCGGCGUAGGGUGAGUCGGCCCCUAAGGCGAGGCAGAAAUGCGUAGCUGAUGGGAAGCAGGUCAAUAUUCCUGCACCAUUGUUAGAUGCGAUGGGGGGACGGAUCGCGGAAGGUUGUCCGGGUGUUGGAAGUCCCGGUCGCUGCAUUGGAGAAGGCGCUUAGGCAAAUCCGGGCGCGCAAUUCAAGGGUGUGGCGCGAGCUCCUUAGGGAGCGAAGCAAUUGGAAGUGGUUCCAAGAAAAGCCUCUAAGCUUCAGUCUAACGAUGACCGUACCGCAAACCGACACAGGUGGGCGAGAUGAGUAUUCUAAGGCGCUUGAGAGAACUCGGGAGAAGGAACUCGGCAAAUUGGUACCGUAACUUCGGGAUAAGGUACGCCCUUGUAGCUUGACUGGCCUGCGCCAGGAGGGUGAAGGGGUUGCAAUAAACUGGUGGCUGCGACUGUUUAAUAAAAACACAGCACUCUGCAAACACGAAAGUGGACGUAUAGGGUGUGACGCCUGCCCGGUGCCGGAAGAUUAAAUGAUGGGGUGCAAGCUCUUGAUUGAAGUCCCGGUAAACGGCGGCCGUAACUAUAACGGUCCUAAGGUAGCGAAAUUCCUUGUCGGGUAAGUUCCGACCUGCACGAAUGGCGUAACGAUGGCCACACUGUCUCCUCCCGAGACUCAGCGAAGUUGAAGUGUUUGUGAUGAUGCAAUCUACCCGCGGCUAGACGGAAAGACCCCAUGAACCUUUACUGUAGCUUUGCAUUGGACUUUGAACCGAUCUGUGUAGGAUAGGUGGGAGGCUAUGAAACCGGAACGCUAGUUUCGGUGGAGCCGUCCUUGAAAUACCACCCUGGUUUGUUUGAGGUUCUAACCUUGGCCCGUGAUCCGGGUCGGGGACAGUGCAUGGUAGGCAGUUUGACUGGGGCGGUCUCCUCCCAAAGCGUAACGGAGGAGUACGAAGGUACGCUAGGUACGGUCGGAAAUCGUGCUGAUAGUGCAAUGGCAUAAGCGUGCUUAACUGCGAGACCGACAAGUCGAGCAGGUGCGAAAGCAGGUCAUAGUGAUCCGGUGGUUCUGUAUGGAAGGGCCAUCGCUCAACGGAUAAAAGGUACUCUGGGGAUAACAGGCUGAUACCGCCCAAGAGUUCAUAUCGACGGCGGUGUUUGGCACCUCGAUGUCGGCUCAUCUCAUCCUGGGGCUGUAGCCGGUCCCAAGGGUAUGGCUGUUCGCCAUUUAAAGAGGUACGUGAGCUGGGUUUAAAACGUCGUGAGACAGUUUGGUCCCUAUCUGCCGUGGGCGUUGGAUAUUUGAAGGGGGCUGCUCCUAGUACGAGAGGACCGGAGUGGACGAACCUCUGGUGUACCGGUUGUCACGCCAGUGGCAUCGCCGGGUAGCUAUGUUCGGAAGAGAUAACCGCUGAAAGCAUCUAAGCGGGAAACUCGCCUUAAGAUGAGAUAUCCCUGGGGACUAGAUCCCCUUGAAGGGUCGUUCGAGACCAGGACGUUGAUAGGUCAGGUGUGUAAGCGCAGUAAUGCGUUCAGCUAACUGAUACUAAUUGCCCGUAAGGCUUGAUCCU
This 2710-nucleotide ribosomal RNA is filed under the name Burkholderia cenocepacia. RNAcentral describes it as "partial 23S ribosomal RNA". It matches the Rfam family "Bacterial large subunit ribosomal RNA". The record is from RNAcentral. Lineage: Bacteria; Pseudomonadati; Pseudomonadota; Betaproteobacteria; Burkholderiales; Burkholderiaceae.